This 310-nucleotide ribosomal RNA is filed under the name uncultured bacterium. Its description in RNAcentral is "bacterial SSU rRNA". It matches the Rfam family "Bacterial small subunit ribosomal RNA", at positions 28 to 334 of the family's 1533-position model. The record is from RNAcentral.
GAUGAACGCUGGCGGCGUGCUUAACACAUGCAAGUCGAACGGACUUUGAUGAAACCUAGUGAUUCAAAGUUAGUGGCGGACGGGUGAGUAACGCGUGGGUAACCUGCCUCACACUGGGGGAUAACACUUAGAAAUAGGUGCUAAUACCGCAUAAGCGCACAGUAUCGCAUGAUACGGUGUGAAAACUCCGGUGGUGUGAGAUGGACCCGCGUCUGAUUAGCUAGUUGGUGAGGUAACGGCCCACCAAGGCAACGAUCAGUAGCCGGCCUGAGAGGGUGAACGGCCACAUUGGGACUGAGACACGGCCCAA